GUGCGGUGGCACACACCUGUAAUCCCAGCUACUCAGAAGGGAGGCUGAAGGGGCAGGAUCGCUUAAGCCCAGGAGUUAGAGGCUACAGUAAACCAUGAUUGCUCCACUUGCGCUCCAGCCUGGGCAACAGCAAAGCAUAUAUUUCAUGUGACAAGAUUUAUGGAGUAAAGAAAAUAAUUCAGUGGAAGAGAAUUGUGGAAAAGAUAUUUCAAGUCCCAUGCCUAAAAAACAAGUAUUUGCUGUUAAUUUUCACCAUUCAGGGCAUUUACAUUACUGGAGCAACUGGAGGCUACACAGAUUUCUAAGACAAAUGAUCUUUCUAGGAAAAUGUAACCAAGAUUAAAUCAAGACUGCUCAUUAUAAGCCCAACACAUUAAGCACAUCAAUGCCCCCAUAAGUGCCUCUGCAUCAAUCAGGAUUUAUCACAGAAGCGGAAUCACUGUGAGUGAUAUGGAGUAAGGAGGUAUUACGAGGAUUAUACUUUAAUCUAUACAGAAGCUGGUGGAAGAGGCCAUGUAUCUGGAACUGAUUCUAAGUAGGUAUAGAUCAGCCAAACCAGCAGUUGGGAAGAAAAGAUGAGUGUGGACAGCAGCAAAGACAAACUAUAAUUCACAAAGAUGAACUAAAACCUGCAAAGAAAAUAGAAACCUCUGAGGAAAACCGGAACACACAUCUUUCAGCACUUGUAACCUGGAUUCUGUGGAUGACAUGCAGGAUAAGCUGGUAUCCUUUGCCUUGGGAUUGCAGGCACAUUGGUUGAGGACUUAGAAAAACUGAAAGAGGAGUCAGUGAGAACUGGAGUCACUGGAGCUCCAGGUGCUGCUCCAUGCCUGCAAGGUGAGUCAUCAGGUCAGCAACAGCAUGCAUGAGCUGCCCCAGUGCCAAAUGCCAUCCAUCAACCUUCUGAGAAUAAAAAAUACACUGCCUCGCAUUUACCUCCAAAUCUCUCGGGUGGCAAAUAUUAAUGGGACUGUUAAGGGAAGAGGAUUACGGAAAACAGAUUCUGUCUAUUAAUAUUGCUACAUAACAAAUGCCCACAAAAUCUAGCUGCAUAACUAUAUCUCACAGUUUUUAUGGGCCAAGGAUCCAGGAAGUGCUUGGCUCUAUGUCUGUGGUUUGAGAUCUCUCCUGCACUUACUGUAAAACAGGGUCUGGCUUUGGAAGAGCAGGAAGGUGGAGCAGGUGGGGACUGCAGUUGCAGGACCUCUCUGUGUGGCCUCUCCAUGUAGGCUAGUUUUGGUUUCUCCAGGGCAGCCGGGCUGCUAACAUGGCUGCAGGCUUCAAGAGCAAGUAUUCAGUGAGGACAGCAGAAAUAGCAUGACCUUUUACAAUCUAGCCUCAGAAGUCAUAUGGCAUCACUUCCAGGAUGUUGCAUUGUUUCAAACAGUCAUAAAAGUGCACCCAGGUUCAAUGGAGGAGGAAUUAGAGUCUACCUCUUGAUGGAGGAAUCGUAAGGGUCUGGAAGAGCACAUGGAAUGAAAGAUCCUGUUGGCAUACUUCUUUCUUUCAGUAUGUCUAGCCAGAAGAUCUAUGCAGAAAUCAGCAUCUGAAUUUUUUCACUUUAUUUAUUUUCUGGUAACUCCUAAGUCAAACAAUAACAAUAAAUACCAGAUAAAUGUAAAUUCUGUUUGUAGUUCUUGACAUAAUUGGGAUGUAUUCCUAAGUAUGAUUAUGAUAAUACCUGCUAUAUAUUCCUAACAUUGAGACAACAAUAUCUAGGGGAUGAGACAGAAAGAAAAAUGAAGCCCACAUUAAAAUUACUACAUAAAAUUUUAAAGUAGUUAUUGUUUUAACCUCUCUGGGCUUCAGUUUUGUCAACCGUGAAAUGAAGACACCCUACAUAAAUGACUUACUUCAUCUUCCAUCAGUUUCUUGAAUCUACAAUAAAGAAGACCAUAUUUAAACACCCUCUACAAGAUGAAGACCUUUUUUUUAACAAAGUGAACAAGAAAACCAGUAUUUAGGAAUGAUGUAUUUGAUUGCUUUUUCCUAGAUUUGAAAUUUACAUGUGAGAUGUUAAGAGCAAUAUUAAGAAAUAUAACUCUGAAUCUCCUUCCAAUGCUUCUGAUUUUCAGACAUGUACAGUGCCUUUUAUCUGCAGAAAAGUACAACAUGAUUCAAAGAUAAACCAAUUUUGAGAAACAGAGAUGGAUUAAUAAAAUAUUUACUGUUCAAGAAAGAAAAGAAAGCUUCUAUAAUUCUCCUACAUUUCUCUUCAUUAUAACCCUACAGAAUGUUUGCUCAUGUGAGUCACAAAUGAAUCUGGGGAAGAAUCUAGCAGAGGGUUUUGAUUAAAUGGUAUGCUGAAUAAACAAUGCUGAGACAUUUUAAUGAGGUCACAUAAAAAGGCUGUGUGGAAAAGAAAUAUUUUAAAAAUCACUUUGAGGCUCUAUCCUUAAAUCAUUUCCUGGAGAACUGGGCUCUAUUUCUUCUCAUUGUACCAUUAACCAAAGACUUUAAAUCCUCUCACUGAUUUUGCUACCAUGAAUGAUCCAUGGCUCCUUAGCACAUAGAUUUCCAUUUCUGUGUUUCUGAAAAUUAUUGAGGCUCAUUCUAUGAGCCUGAUUUCAAUAAUGAAAUCAGGUAAAUAAAUGCCCUGUUUAAAGCUAAUGGCAUUUAGUUACUUCUUCACAUAAGUCAAAAGCAAAGUUAAAUAAUAGGCCUAUAGCUCUUUACGAAACAAUGCCAAAAUAUUGUUGCUCGCCUAUAAUGCUUGCUGAUGGCCAGAGAGCCAGAGGUUAUACAAAAGUCAAUCUGAAGGCUGGGCAUGGUAGGUCACUCCUGUAAUCCCAGCACUUUGGAAGGCCGAGGCGGGCUGACCACUUGAGGCCAGGAGUAUGAGACCAGCCUAGCCAACAUGGCAACUCCCUGUCUCUAGUAAAAUUACAAAAAUUAACUGUUGUGGUGGCACAUGUCUGUAAUCCCAGCUACUUGGGAGGCUGAGGCACAAGAAUCACUUGAACCCGGGAGGCAAAUAUGGUUGCAGUGACCCAAGAUCACACCACUGCACUCCAGCCUGGGUGACAGAGUGAGACUCUGUCCAAAAAAAAAAAAAAGAAAGAAAGAAAGAGAAAAGAGGGGAGGGGAGGGAAGUCAGUCUGAGAUUUUUGAGACCAAGAAACAAAGACUUGGGAAGUUAAAUAUAUGGACCAAACUCAUAUAACCAAUUGGCAACUGAAUCUGACCUUAAUAUGAUUGGCUUGGAAAUGGGAUAGGGCUGACAAGAAGAUGGAUGUUAGUCCCUAUGAGGCAUGGAAAGAAGGGGAAAAGGAAUCAAACAUGACCAGAACUGGUCUGUAUGGUCAAAAAGUAGUCAAAUGUUGGCAUUGUGGAUUUAAGAGGUAGGACAGUUAGAGGUGAUAUAAAGGUUCAGGUCGACCCAUGCAAAUUGGUGACAUAAGUGGAAUAAAGUCAAGGAACUGAGAAAGGCAAGGGUGUGAAUUGAGUCAUUGACACACAUACUAAAAUCCUGGAUGACAUCCCACAGUGGAGAGAAAUGUUGUGGGUGAGUUUUACAGGUAUUUAGUGAUUUGGGGACCAAAAUAGAGAGUUAUUAGACAACUGGGCCAAUGUGAGGACCAGCAUAGAAUAGCCAGAAACAACGGGCCUCAGAAGCCCAACGCUUUUCCAGGGGUUGGAGACAUAAUGGUUUGUAACAGGCAUGUUAAGGCUAGAAGUCAACCACUUUCUUCCCCAGAGAUCUCCUGGUUUGGGAAAAAUUAGCUGCUAUGCUUAUGUGGGCCACAGAGAAACAGGAUUCAGUGGAGACAACAGGGUAGAGUGAAUGUGUUUGGAAGAGAAGAGGAUGCAAAGGAGUCUGUUUACCAUAGAAGAUAAAUAUUCAAAAGGCAAAAGAGAAAGGUUUGAGAGGGAGGGUUGCAGUAGAAACUUGGGUCUCAGGAACAGAAACAGGAAGCUGUGUGGGAUGUCACUACCUUUCAGGCAGAAACACAAAAAGAUGAAAAUACAUGGGCACCAUCCACAAAAAGAAUACAGUCUAUAUGAGAAAAUUGUCCUAGCAAACAGAAUUAUCAUUAAACAUGGAUUACAUCCAUUAUAUACACACAUAUGUGCCCACAUAGCAGUAACAUACAUAUAUACCUUUUAAAUCUGUCUGCUACUCACCCAGAGAUAAAUCUUGUCUUCUCAUCUAGAUUGUAAGCUACUAAAAAAAAGGCUUAUGUUGUGUAUCAGUGUUAUUAGCAUAAAUCGAAGUCGAAUUUAGGUAGGUCAAACCAAAUUAAGAUCAUCUGAGAAUGUUCAACCCCUUCUUUUUCUGUUUUCAUUUGUUACCAUUAAAAAUUAAUAUCUUUUCUUAUCUGAGACGUUUACAAAUCUGUCAGUGUAACCCAGUAUGUUGAUGAAUAAAGCUGAGGACGGCCUGGACAUCA
Molecule: long non-coding RNA, 4391 nt
Filed under: Homo sapiens (human)
Lineage: Eukaryota; Metazoa; Chordata; Mammalia; Primates; Hominidae
Description: HSALNT0224105
Source: RNAcentral